This 399-nucleotide ribosomal RNA is filed under the name uncultured bacterium. RNAcentral describes it as "bacterial SSU rRNA". It matches the Rfam family "Bacterial small subunit ribosomal RNA", at positions 358 to 774 of the family's 1533-position model. The record is from RNAcentral.
GGAAUAUUGGACAAUGGGCGAAAGCCUGAUCCAGCAAUGCCGCGUGAGUGAUGAAGGCCUUAGGGUUGUAAAGCUCUUUCGCACGCGACGAUGAUGACGGUAGCGUGAGAAGAAGCCCCGGCUAACUUCGUGCCAGCAGCCGCGGUAAUACGAAGGGGGCUAGCGUUGUUCGGAAUUACUGGGCGUAAAGGGCGCGUAGGCGGUUUAUCAAGUCAGGCGUGAAAGCCCCGGGCUCAACCUGGGAAUUGCGUUUGAUACUGGUAGACUUGAGUUCGGGAGAGGUGAGUGCAAUUCCCAGUGUAGAGGUGAAAUUCGUAGAUAUUGGGAAGAACACCGGUGGCGAAGGCGGCUCACUGGACCGAUACUGACGCUGAGGCGCGAAAGCGUGGGGAGCAAACA